AUUGAACGCUGGCGGCAUGCCUUACACAUGCAAGUCGAACGGUAACAGGCCGCAAGGUGCUGACGAGUGGCGAACGGGUGAGUAAUGUAUCGGAACGUGCCCAGUCGUGGGGGAUAACUGCUCGAAAGAGCAGCUAAUACCGCAUACGACCUGAGGGUGAAAGCGGGGGAUCGCAAGACCUCGCGCGAUUGGAGCGGCCGAUAUCAGAUUAGGUAGUUGGUGGGGUAAAGGCCCACCAAGCCAACGAUCUGUAGCUGGUCUGAGAGGACGACCAGCCACACUGGGACUGAGACACGGCCCAGACUCCUACGGGAGGCAGCAGUGGGGAAUUUUGGACAAUGGACGCAAGUCUGAUCCAGCCAUGCCGCGUGCGGGAAGAAGGCCUC
Molecule: ribosomal RNA, 386 nt
Filed under: uncultured bacterium
Lineage: Bacteria
Description: bacterial SSU rRNA
Rfam family: Bacterial small subunit ribosomal RNA
Source: RNAcentral